Molecule: transfer RNA, 71 nt
Filed under: Chara vulgaris
Lineage: Eukaryota; Viridiplantae; Streptophyta; Charophyceae; Charales; Characeae
Also listed under: 1 other name
Description: tRNA-Cys
Rfam family: tRNA
About the family: Transfer RNA (tRNA) molecules are approximately 80 nucleotides in length. Their secondary structure includes four short double-helical elements and three loops (D, anti-codon, and T loops).
Source: RNAcentral
GGCGAUAUGGCCAAGCGGUAAGGCAAGGGAUUGCAAAUCCUUUAUCCCCAGUUCGAAUCUGGGUGUCGCCU